This 909-nucleotide long non-coding RNA is filed under the name Parus major (Great Tit). RNAcentral's name for it is "lncRNA (ENSPMJG00000012150.1)". Lineage: Eukaryota; Metazoa; Chordata; Aves; Passeriformes; Paridae. The record is from RNAcentral.
AAGCAGCUGUCCCUGCUUUUGGAUUCUGUGUCCUUUUGUUUUGUGCCUGAACUCAGCCAGGAGCUCUCCUUUUUAUCUGUGCUGGCCUUGCUGGAUUUCUGCAAACUGUUCUUGUGCUCUGAUAAGGCUGACCUUGAACUUUAGCCAGCUCUCUUUGCCCUGGCAAGCAGUUUCCCAUGGGAUCCUUCCAAGCAGGUCCCUGCAGAGGCUGAAAUCUUCUCUUUGCAUUCAAGGACUGCAAUACUGUUGAUCCUACUCAUUCCUCUUGGUAUCUUGAGCAUCUGGAUUUCCUCUGACCCAUUAAAUUGACCAGCAGACAACAGAGGCACAUGAGAGACAGCUCCUGUGAGAGUGAGACUUUUCCCAGCUGCCCUAGGAAGGUUUUAUCUGCCCCUCCUUCUUGAUUAUCAGCCUGAUAUUUACCUGGAGCACUGAAUAACUGCUUUUGCUCAACAGUAGGGUUGAGAAAUGCAUCCCCUGGGCCCCCCAUCUUUCACCCUUCCAACAGGGUGUCCUGCUCUUUGGUACAGCACACACAGGCCUUGUGUGCUUAUUUAAUUCUGAGUUUGAAGAGCCAGAUGCAAAGAGAAGUGGAGGGAGUACUUUGAAGAAUAAGAACAGGAUCUCUUAUGGCAGCUUUCUUGCAUGGUACUAUUUGCUGCUGCAGAAAUGAGAAAGUAUUCCUCCUGGCAGAAGAAGCAUGGCAUAUGGCAUCAGGAAUUUGAAACAUCUCUGCAAGACCAGAGGCAGGAAUACAAGUGUAUCCCACAGAUGUGCCCUGACCACUUGAGCCUACUCAUCUGCUGACAUCUGUUGAAUGUGGCCCUGAGCUCACAGACCCUCUUCUUGAGAUUUGUAACAAAGGUGGUUAAAAUUUAAAAAUAAAAAAAUCCCAAACAAUCCUAAACA